AGUUUCCUGUUCCCAGGCCGGAACGCGGGUGACUAGAAAGCGCCUCUGACGUAACCCUCUCCUUGCUGUGUCUGCCUGGAAGAUCCCACCCUGUCCGUCGGUAGUUUCCAAGCUUGCAGCAAGCUCUAUAAGAGUGAGAUGCGGGUCUGGGGAGCCGCAGUCCUGGAGCCUGCAUACGACCUCGUGCUCUGAAGCUAUGCUGCGAGCUGCGAUGCUCAUCCUUUCGCCCCCUUGUGUCUACCGAUGCAAACGAGGGCAGACUGCACCGCUUCUGACAAGCAAACUGCAGGGACUCCUAAAUCGAAAACCAAACACGAGCCAUGGGUCUUUUUCCCGAUUGGUCUGCUUCCAUGGGUAGAGCCCACGGCCCAGCUGGGAGAUCCGAUAUCCAGAGGCCUUGCUGACGCUUUCUCUCCCUCCCUUUCGUAACGUUUCUCCCCGUUUACUGGGGAAAGCGCCACACUGAGCGUCGAGGCCCAGCUACCAGCAGUGUUUGGGGAGCGUGAGAACAGAGAAAUCAGGCGGGGAGGCAGGCGGGAGAGUCCGUGACACGGCGUGAGCAGCAGUGCUAUCCGCUCUCCAGCUGGAGUGGGACACUGCAGCCGGGAAGGCAGCGGAGCUCUGCUCUUCACCUUCUCGAUGUAGUGUUUCAUGGUUGGGAGGUACCAAAUACCUCCCGUAAAAAUACUGUCCCAGGUAUGUUCUUGCUUUACACUUCUGGUGGGACAGGAAGUUUGGUGUUUCUGUAAUAUGUUUGCUGUCUUAUCUUGUUCAAAAUAGGAAAAUAAAGAACAUUAAAUAUA
Molecule: long non-coding RNA, 803 nt
Organism: Rhea pennata
Lineage: Eukaryota; Metazoa; Chordata; Aves; Rheiformes; Rheidae
Exons: 3
Source: RefSeq, a predicted model, not a curated record